CCUACGGGAGGCAGCAGUGAGGAAUAUUGGUCAAUGGGCUUACGCCUGAACCAGCCAAGUCGCGUGAGGGAAGACUGCCCUAUGGGUUGUAAACCUCUUUUGUCAGGGAGCAACGCCGGUUACGUGUAGCCGGACUGAGAGUACCUGAAGAAAAAGCAUCGGCUAACUCCGUGCCAGCAGCCGCGGUAAUACGGAGGAUGCGAGCGUUAUCCGGAUUUAUUGGGUUUAAAGGGUGCGUAGGCGGAAUGCCAAGUCAGCGGUAAAAUCGCGGGGCUCAACCUCGCUCCGCCGUUGAAACUGGCGUUCUUGAGUGGGCGAGAAGUAUGCGGAAUGCGUGGUGUAGCGGUGAAAUGCAUAGAUAUCACGCAGAACUCCGAUUGCGAAGGCAGCAUACCGGCGCCCGACUGACGCUGAGGCACGAAAGCGUGGGGAUCGAACAGGAUUAGAUACCCGGGUAGUC
RNAcentral lists this ribosomal RNA (460 nucleotides) under uncultured bacterium. RNAcentral describes it as "partial 16S ribosomal RNA". It matches the Rfam family "Bacterial small subunit ribosomal RNA", at positions 338 to 795 of the family's 1533-position model. The record is from RNAcentral.